Molecule: long non-coding RNA, 751 nt
Filed under: Equus asinus (donkey)
Lineage: Eukaryota; Metazoa; Chordata; Mammalia; Perissodactyla; Equidae
Description: lncRNA (ENSEASG00005026330.1)
Source: RNAcentral
UAGAGCUACAGUCUCUUCCAGGUUUCAGGGGUGGCUUGUUUGACCCUGGGGUAAAAAUCCAAGUUGCUUAAAUCAUAAAUUCUCACAUUCUUGGCCCAGGAGUGAGUGUAGGAUUGUAGAAGAGAUUUGGAGUUAGUCAUUGGUUUCAAUAAUAAAUGACUAGCUGUGCACCUUGGACAAGUUACUUGAUUUGCCUGAGCCUUGAUUUCUUCAUCUGGAAACCACUGCCUGGUAGAUAUAGACCCUAUCAUAUCCAAAAUUCACUAUUGAUCUGAAGGGUCAUGAUGUUAUAGGAUGGUCAGAUUCAUUGUUUCUGGAUCUUUAAAUUCAGACUUGAUAAGAGACAUAAAGUUGAAACCAAAACCACACGUUUUCAGCUGCCAUGUGGUGAGGAUACUCAAUGGGAGACCCAUGUGGAAAGGAACUGAGGCCCCAGUCAACAGCCAAGACCAACUUGCCAGUCAUGUGAGUUAGCCAACUUGAAAAUGCAUCAAACUGCAGCCUGAAGAGAGACUCUGAGCCACAACUGCCCAGCUGAGCCACUUCCAAAUUCCUGACACACAGACACUGUUAGAGAUAAUAAAUUGUUAUUGUUGUUUCAAGUCACUAAGUUUUAGAGGGGAUUUCUUAUGCAGCAAUAGAUUAUGUAAGAUCCAUUUCUCUAGCGUCAACUCUCAUUAACCAAGCACAGAGCCCAAUAUAUAAACCAGAAUAGCAACUUACUAAUAUGCUUUGAGAUACACAACUCUUG